GGGCCCGCACAAGCGGUGGAGCAUGUGGUUUAAUUCGAUGAUACGCGAGGAACCUUACCAGGGCUUAAAUGUAAGUUGCAUAGAUCAGAGAUGGUCUUUUCUUCGGACUACUUACAAGGUGCUGCAUGGUUGUCGUCAGCUCGUGCCGUGAGGUGUCAGGUUAAGUCCUAUAACGAGCGCAACCCCUGUCGUUAGUUGCCAGCAAGUAAUGUUGGGCACUCUAGCGAGACUGCCGGUGCAAACCGCGAGGAAGGUGGGGAUGACGUCAAAUCAUCACGGCCCUUACGUCCUGGGCUACACACGUGCUACAAUGGUCGGUACAGAGAGCAGCCACUACGCGAGUAGGAGCGAAUCUAUAAAGCCAAUCUCAGUUCGGAUUGGAGUCUGCAACUCGACUCUAUGAAGCUGGAAUC
Molecule: ribosomal RNA, 413 nt
Filed under: uncultured bacterium
Lineage: Bacteria
Description: bacterial SSU rRNA
Rfam family: Bacterial small subunit ribosomal RNA
Source: RNAcentral